CCUUGCUGUCGCCAGCCCGGGGACCAGCUAUCUUUGGCCCGGGGGGGGGGCGAGCCCGGCAGCGGGCCGGGGCCCCCAGCUGCCCCCCUUCCCCCCGAGCCGCCGUCUGCGGAGCCCCGGGGCUGCGGCGCCGGGGAAGUUAGAUAAAUUAUCGUCUGUGCGGCCGGCCGGUGCCUAUGCUCCUCAGAUAAUGCAGCUCGAAUUAGGCUGCGGCCAGAUCGGGUGAUGGGCUGCCGUGGGAUCGAUCGCUGCUUCCCCAGAGCACAAGCUUCCCCGCACCAGCGGGAGGUUCCCUCGAGGUGCGGCUCCUCCGUGGGGGAAACCCACGCCACGGCUGCCCCUCUGCAGCCGGCAACGGAAUAUACCCCAGAGCAACCCCACACGCG
This is a long non-coding RNA of Grus americana (Whooping crane), 386 nucleotides long. RefSeq lists it as uncharacterized. NCBI's taxonomy places the organism in Eukaryota, Metazoa, Chordata, Aves, Gruiformes, Gruidae. The record is from RefSeq and is a predicted model, not a curated record. The transcript has 3 exons.